This 416-nucleotide ribosomal RNA is filed under the name uncultured bacterium. RNAcentral's name for it is "bacterial SSU rRNA". It matches the Rfam family "Bacterial small subunit ribosomal RNA", at positions 361 to 774 of the family's 1533-position model. The record is from RNAcentral.
AUAUUGGGCAAUGCCCGCAAGGGUGACCCAGCAACGCCGCGUGGAGGAUGAAUGUCGUAAGAUUGUAAACUCCUGUUAGAGGGGAAGAAUAGUACCGGUUGGACCGGUAUAUGACUGUACCCUCAGAGAAAGCCCCGGCUAACUACGUGCCAGCAGCCGCGGUAAUACGUAGGGGGCAAGCGUUGUCCGGAUUUACUGGGUGUAAAGGGCGCGCAGGCGGGAUAAAAAGUCAGUGGUGAAAGCCUGCAGCUUAACUGCAGAAUUGCCAUUGAUACUGUUAGUCUUGAGUACAGUUGAGGUAGGCGGAAUGUGUCAUGUAGCGGUGAAAUGCUUAGAUAUGACACAGAACACCGAUUGCGAAGGCAGCUUGCUAAGCUGUAACUGACGCUGAGGCACGAAAGCGUGGGGAGCAAACA